UACGUAGGGUGCGAGCGUUGUCCGGAAUUAUUGGGCGUAAAGAGCUCGUAGGCGGUCUGUCGCGUCUGCUGUGAAAUCCCGAGGCUCAACCUCGGGCUUGCAGUGGGUACGGGCAGGCUAGAGUGCGGUAGGGGAGAAUGGAACUCCUGGUGUAGCGGUGGAAUGCGCAGAUAUCAGGAGGAACACCAAUAGCGAAGGCAGCUCGCUGGGACGUUACUGACACUGAGGCGCGAAAGCGUGGGGAGCGAACAGG
RNAcentral lists this ribosomal RNA (253 nucleotides) under uncultured bacterium. Its description in RNAcentral is "partial 16S ribosomal RNA". It matches the Rfam family "Bacterial small subunit ribosomal RNA", at positions 524 to 776 of the family's 1533-position model. The record is from RNAcentral.